RNAcentral lists this microRNA precursor (96 nucleotides) under Marmota monax (woodchuck). Lineage: Eukaryota; Metazoa; Chordata; Mammalia; Rodentia; Sciuridae. The record is from RNAcentral.
AUGAGAAGCACCUGGGGAUCUUAUAAAAUUGAGGAUUCUGUUUAAGUGUGGGUCCUAACAUUCUUCAUUUCUAUCAAGUGCCCAAGUGAUCUCAAA